GACGAACGCUGGCGGCGUGCUUAACACAUGCAAGUCGAACGGAAAGGCCCUGCUUUUGUGGUGUGCUCGAGUGGCGAACGGGUGAGUAACACGUGAGUAACCUGCCCUUGACUUUGGGAUAACUUCAGGAAACUGGGGCUAAUACCGGAUAGGAGCUCCUGCUGCAUGGUGGGGGUUGGAAAGUGUCGGCGGUUGGGGAUGGACUCGCGGCUUAUCAGCUUGUUGGUGUGGUAGUGGCUUACCAAGGCUUUGACGGGUAGCCCGCCUGAGAGGGUGACCGGGCACAUUGGGCCUGAGAUACGGCCCAGACUCCUACGGGAGGCAGCAGUGGGGAAUAUUGCACAAUGGGCGGAAGCCUGAUGCAGAAACGCCGCGUGCGGGAUGACGGCCUUCGGGUUGUAAACCGCUUUCGCCUGUGACGAAGCGUGAGUGACGGUAAUGGGUAAAGAAGCACCGGCUAACUACGUG
Molecule: ribosomal RNA, 468 nt
Filed under: uncultured bacterium
Lineage: Bacteria
Description: partial 16S ribosomal RNA
Rfam family: Bacterial small subunit ribosomal RNA
Source: RNAcentral